GGGUUCCCGAAGCGCUGCAACUACUUCAGAGAAAUGUGACAGAAGAAGUUGACGGAACACUCUCGAGUCAGUCACCCAAUAGGAAACAAACACACUCUCUCACAGUACCCAAGACAUGGAAGCAACCUAAAGUGUCCAUCGACAGAGGAAUGGAUAAAGAAGAUGUGGUACAUACAUAUGAUGGAUUAUUAAUCAGCCAUAAAAACAAAUGGAAUUUUGCCUUUGUCAGCAACAUGGAUGCACCUGAGGGGUAUUACGCUAAGUGCCUGAGUCCUCAGGUCCCAGCCUGGGCAGCCACACCUGUGCUCAGAAACUACCUUGGACCAUGGGGAUGAGGCUGACCUUUCUGCUCGGGGGUAAGGCGGCUCCAGCUGUUGGGAGGCUCCCCUGAGGGGGCAGCUCAGGACUUGGGUGGGCAGAGCUCUAAUCCUGGACUUCCUGCCUUUAAGGAUGGCCUCUUAUGGAUGUUGCAUGCUCCCCCCCCCGCCCCAUUUUGGGACAAACACCUCACAGGCACCUGUCCCUGCACUGCACUGAGGGUGAGCCCCUCCCUGCUUUCAGAACCCACGAGCAUUGAGCCAUCACACGAGGAUGGAACCCUCAUUAUAUUCAUUCAGCUCACAUUCCCCGAGAACCAAACUUCAGUUGCAGCUGUUAAGUAACUUCCAUCUUGGUGUUGAAUGACAAGGUUCAGGAAAAAUAUCUCUAGGGUAUACUUGCGGGGGGAAGGACCUCCGUCGACAUCCUCAGGGUGCACUAUUUCCCAAGGGGCUCUGGGUACUGAGCACAUGUUCUGGAACUUCCAGUGUUUCAGCUGUUCUGCAGGCUGAGAAUCAUUUGGUGGAAACCCCUGUCUUAUUUCCAUAUCAGGUCUACAACCUGUGUAAAGGAGGAAUUCUCCAGUGGUGCAGUGGGUUAAGGAUUGGGCAUUGUCACUGUUGUGGCCUGGAUUCAAUCCCUGGCCAAAAAAAUCCCAAAAAAUCUGUGUAAAGGAAUCAGCUCCAGAACCUGGUGGUAGCAAUGGUUUUUAAUUAGCUUAUAAUUGUGUAAGGACUUCCGAUGACUUUAUUCAGUGUACAAUUUAGUGAGUUCCCUGGUGGCCUAUUGGUUAGGACGUGGUGCUUUUCACCUCUGUGCCAAAAAAAGAAAAAAGAAAAAAA
RNAcentral lists this long non-coding RNA (1160 nucleotides) under Sus scrofa (pig). Its description in RNAcentral is "lncRNA (ENSSSCG00050072844.1, ENSSSCG00170003896.1, ENSSSCG00180003409.1)". The record is from RNAcentral. Lineage: Eukaryota; Metazoa; Chordata; Mammalia; Artiodactyla; Suidae.